Long non-coding RNA from Peromyscus leucopus (white-footed mouse), 508 nucleotides. RefSeq lists it as uncharacterized. The record is from RefSeq and is a predicted model, not a curated record. NCBI's taxonomy places the organism in Eukaryota, Metazoa, Chordata, Mammalia, Rodentia, Cricetidae. The transcript is spliced from 3 exons.
UCAUGUGUCCCUGCAUGGAGGCACAGAGAGGUCAUUUCAUGAGAUGUGACAGUAAACUGAGAUUGUGUUGAAGACCCCAGAAAUUUGGAGGUGCCAGAUCCAUGGAAUGUUUGCCAGGGAGAGCUGAAAACAGCCCAACUGAAUACUAGCCCAAGAGACAGAAGUUACAGUCAGCAAAUCUGGAAAGGAAGAGCCAUUUAAUCCCUUUGACGAUGGACAUGGAACUGCAGGAUUUGGAGUUUUCAUCGUUGGGUUUUGGUUUUGUUUUGGCCUAGUGUUUUCUCUCUACACCAAUACUCCUCCCUUUGAGAAAGUCGUGUAUAUUCUGGGCCAUCAUAUGCUGGAAAUACUACUGGAUGCUUAAUGGGAUCCUGGAAAUGGGAGACCCAGAGGAGAUUCUACCACAUUGCCAGAUACUUCUCCAGUUUGCAGUCAUUUCUGAAUAUCUUAGAAAAACAUGGCAUCUAAUAAUCAGUGCUGAUCGAUGGGUAGUGAGUUCAAAUCAAGA